This 468-nucleotide ribosomal RNA is filed under the name uncultured bacterium. RNAcentral describes it as "partial 16S ribosomal RNA". It matches the Rfam family "Bacterial small subunit ribosomal RNA", at positions 28 to 507 of the family's 1533-position model. The record is from RNAcentral.
GACGAACGCUGGCGGCGUGCUUAACACAUGCAAGUCGAACGGAAAGGCCCUGCUUUUGUGGGGUGCUCGAGUGGCGAACGGGUGAGUAACACGUGAGUAACCUGCCCUUGACUUUGGGAUAACUUCAGGAAACUGGGGCUAAUACCGGAUAGGAGCUCCUGCUGCAUGGUGGGGGUUGGAAAGUUUCGGCGGUUGGGGAUGGACUCGCGGCUUAUCAGCUUGUUGGUGGGGUAGUGGCUUACCAAGGCUUUGACGGGUAGCCGGCCUGAGAGGGUGACCGGCACCAUGGGGAAGGAGAGCCGGCCAGGACCCCGACGGGAGGAAGAAGGGGGAAUUAUUGAAAAAUGGGCGGAAGCCUGAUGCAGCAACGCCGGGUGGGGGAGGACGGCUUUGGGUUUGAAAACCGUUUCCGCCGGUGAAGAAGGGGGGGGGACGGUAAGGGGUAAAGAGCCCCGGGAAAACUACGUC